RNAcentral lists this unclassified non-coding RNA (389 nucleotides) under soil metagenome. RNAcentral's name for it is "partial contains 5.8S ribosomal RNA, internal transcribed spacer 2, and large subunit ribosomal RNA". The stretch from base 1 to 122 matches the Rfam family "5.8S ribosomal RNA", at positions 35 to 154 of the family's 154-position model. The record is from RNAcentral.
GAUGAAGAACGUAGCGAAAUGCGAUACUUGGUGUGAAUUGCAGAAUCCCGUGAACCAUCGAGUCUUUGAACGCAAGUUGCGCCCGAAGCCAUUAGGCCGAGGGCACGCCUGCCUGGGCGUCACACGUCGUUGCCCCCCCAUCUACUCCUUCGGGAUUGCGGGGGGCGGAUGAUGGCCUCCCGUGCGCCUCGUCGCGCGGUUGGCAUAAAUGCCAAGUCCUCGGCGACGCACGCCACGACAAUCGGUGGUUGCGAAACCUCGGUUGCCCGUCGUGUGCGGUCGUCGCGCAUCGAGGGCUCGAAAAAAUUGUCGGGCUCCGGCUCGGCUUUCAACGCGACCCCAGGUCAGGCGGGGUUACCCGCUGAAUUUAAGCAUAUCAUAGCGGAGGA